Molecule: long non-coding RNA, 934 nt
Filed under: Chrysolophus pictus (golden pheasant)
Lineage: Eukaryota; Metazoa; Chordata; Aves; Galliformes; Phasianidae
Description: lncRNA (ENSCPIG00010006528.1)
Source: RNAcentral
ACGAGAACACAGGGACGUGAGUACAUUGGGGUGUGGGGACGCAGGGACAUAGAGGACAUGGUGACAAGUGGACAUAGGGAUGUGAGGACAUGGGGACACAGGGAUGUGUCCCCCACCCCUGCUCUGAGCACUGUCCCCCUAGACUGCAACUAUGAGGGCAGGAAAGUGGUGAAUGGGCAAAGCUUCAGUCCUGAGGGCCGGCCCUGCAUCCGCUGUACCUGCCAGCUUGGGGAGGUGAGCUGCGAGGAGAGGCCGUGUCCCCAGUCCUGCACUGAGCCCACUGCCUGCUGCCUCCGUUGCCAAGCAGACGGCCAGCUGCAGAGCAGUGACACAUCUCCAUUUCUGUCCCCAUCCCCAACCCCACAGCCAUCAUCCCCAUCCUCAUCCCCAUCCUCAUCUCCAUCCCCAUCUCCAUCCCCAUCCUUGUCCCCAUCACCAUCCCACAAGGGCACACCCCAGUCCCCCCGCCACCGCCUGGCCCAGGUCCUGCUCCACCCCAACCCUCUCAGCCCUUCUCUGGGGGGGGAGCCCCCUCCCAACACCCCAAGCCCCCCAUUGGGCUGCCCUGGUAAGGCCACAGGAUCCCCAGCCCUCAGCAGCAACCCCAGCUCAAGACAGGAUGCUCAGGAACAGCCUGGGGACGUGGACAUGGACACAUAGAAUCACCCACACCUGGAGGAGGAGGAGGAGGAGGAGGAGGAGGAGGAAGAGGAAGGCUGCUGGAUUAGUGGGCCUGGCCGGCCAGGCACAGCUGAAGAUGGGGCACUGAGGUGCGCAGUUGGAUGCGCUGAGCAACCAGAGGUGGUGACACAUCCUUGAGCAAUGGGCACGGGGACCCCUGGCCCUUCACCACUACAUGGUGGCAGAGGCUGUAGGGCUGUGGUGCCGGUGCUCUUCCACCCCCCAAUAAAGUUACCCCAGUAUUUACGCUCCA